RNAcentral lists this ribosomal RNA (1542 nucleotides) under Salmonella enterica. RNAcentral's name for it is "bacterial SSU rRNA". It matches the Rfam family "Bacterial small subunit ribosomal RNA". The record is from RNAcentral. Lineage: Bacteria; Pseudomonadati; Pseudomonadota; Gammaproteobacteria; Enterobacterales; Enterobacteriaceae. RNAcentral also lists the same sequence under 1 other name.
AAAUUGAAGAGUUUGAUCAUGGCUCAGAUUGAACGCUGGCGGCAGGCCUAACACAUGCAAGUCGAACGGUAACAGGAAGCAGCUUGCUGCUUUGCUGACGAGUGGCGGACGGGUGAGUAAUGUCUGGGAAACUGCCUGAUGGAGGGGGAUAACUACUGGAAACGGUGGCUAAUACCGCAUAACGUCGCAAGACCAAAGAGGGGGACCUUCGGGCCUCUUGCCAUCAGAUGUGCCCAGAUGGGAUUAGCUAGUUGGUGAGGUAACGGCUCACCAAGGCGACGAUCCCUAGCUGGUCUGAGAGGAUGACCAGCCACACUGGAACUGAGACACGGUCCAGACUCCUACGGGAGGCAGCAGUGGGGAAUAUUGCACAAUGGGCGCAAGCCUGAUGCAGCCAUGCCGCGUGUAUGAAGAAGGCCUUCGGGUUGUAAAGUACUUUCAGCGGGGAGGAAGGUGUUGUGGUUAAUAACCGCAGCAAUUGACGUUACCCGCAGAAGAAGCACCGGCUAACUCCGUGCCAGCAGCCGCGGUAAUACGGAGGGUGCAAGCGUUAAUCGGAAUUACUGGGCGUAAAGCGCACGCAGGCGGUCUGUCAAGUCGGAUGUGAAAUCCCCGGGCUCAACCUGGGAACUGCAUUCGAAACUGGCAGGCUUGAGUCUUGUAGAGGGGGGUAGAAUUCUAGGUGUAGCGGUGAAAUGCGUAGAGAUCUGGAGGAAUACCGGUGGCGAAGGCGGCCCCCUGGACAAAGACUGACGCUCAGGUGCGAAAGCGUGGGGAGCAAACAGGAUUAGAUACCCUGGUAGUCCACGCCGUAAACGAUGUCUACUUGGAGGUUGUGCCCUUGAGGCGUGGCUUCCGGAGCUAACGCGUUAAGUAGACCGCCUGGGGAGUACGGCCGCAAGGUUAAAACUCAAAUGAAUUGACGGGGGCCCGCACAAGCGGUGGAGCAUGUGGUUUAAUUCGAUGCAACGCGAAGAACCUUACCUGGUCUUGACAUCCACGGAAGUUUUCAGAGAUGAGAAUGUGCCUUCGGGAACCGUGAGACAGGUGCUGCAUGGCUGUCGUCAGCUCGUGUUGUGAAAUGUUGGGUUAAGUCCCGCAACGAGCGCAACCCUUAUCCUUUGUUGCCAGCGAUUAGGUCGGGAACUCAAAGGAGACUGCCAGUGAUAAACUGGAGGAAGGUGGGGAUGACGUCAAGUCAUCAUGGCCCUUACGACCAGGGCUACACACGUGCUACAAUGGCGCAUACAAAGAGAAGCGACCUCGCGAGAGCAAGCGGACCUCAUAAAGUGCGUCGUAGUCCGGAUUGGAGUCUGCAACUCGACUCCAUGAAGUCGGAAUCGCUAGUAAUCGUGGAUCAGAAUGCCACGGUGAAUACGUUCCCGGGCCUUGUACACACCGCCCGUCACACCAUGGGAGUGGGUUGCAAAAGAAGUAGGUAGCUUAACCUUCGGGAGGGCGCUUACCACUUUGUGAUUCAUGACUGGGGUGAAGUCGUAACAAGGUAACCGUAGGGGAACCUGCGGUUGGAUCACCUCCUUA